AUUUGAAACUCACAGCCCCGCUGCCGCUCGGCUCCCCGGGCAAAGCCUGACAUCUACAGUCGUGCCGGGCGCAGGCCGGGUUGCUCGGCGGCGACCGCGCCCGCCCGCCCGCAGGGACCCGGGGACGCACAGGGACGCGCGGGACCCGGGCGCUCAGCUGCGCUCGCUCCGCUUGGGGCGCGGGCCUUGGGGCAGGCCGGGGGUCCCGCGCACCCGCCUGGGGCCAGGAACCCUCGCCGCUCGGCCUGCGCCGCCCCGGGAACCGGCCCCGGCGGGAACAAAGCCCAGGCCCUCCCGGAGGCGCUGACCCCUCGCUCAUCAAAGGUCAGGGGCCGGCCUAGAAUCGGGCGAGAAGAAAGGGACGCGCCCUCGGCCACUAAAAGGAGCCUGAGGCCUCCGAACCGGAGCCAUCGCUCCCUGGGCCCCGUCCACGUCACAGCCAGGCCACUCAAGCAUGGGGACAGGAGCCAAUGUGGACAGGAAUUUAUUGGAAACACACACCCAUCCUAUUAACUGCUUUACAGAGCACUUCUGUUUUUCAGUUGCAGAAACUUAUAAAAACAUCCCCCUGCUCUCCGUUGAGAGUUUAAGGAUAGUUUUUGAGGCCAGAGAAAGAGAAAAGGAGAGAUCACUAGAAAGAUAGGAAGAAAAGAAGUGGGAAGAAAAGGAGAUGCAGUCUACCAUGUAAGCCUCCAGGCUCCUUAGCCUCACCUUAUAAAGCCACAUCACCGCAGAGAUAGCAAAGAUCGUGCCCUUUCCCAGGGAGUUCCUACCGCCAGGCACAGAAAGGCACCUGCUUUUACCCUUUCUGAAAACCACCCACCCAGGCUGGCCUUACAGCCUGGAGAGUCUUUUCCUCGGGCACAAUAAUGAACCAUGCAAGUGUUAGAAAUAUAAUCA
This 900-nucleotide long non-coding RNA is filed under the name Homo sapiens (human). Its description in RNAcentral is "non-protein coding lnc-DHX38-29:1". Lineage: Eukaryota; Metazoa; Chordata; Mammalia; Primates; Hominidae. The record is from RNAcentral.